RNAcentral lists this ribosomal RNA (464 nucleotides) under uncultured bacterium. Its description in RNAcentral is "partial 16S ribosomal RNA". It matches the Rfam family "Bacterial small subunit ribosomal RNA", at positions 338 to 795 of the family's 1533-position model. The record is from RNAcentral.
CCUACGGUGAGCAGCAGUAGGGAAUUUUCGUCAAUGGGCGCAAGCCUGAACGAGCAAUGCCGCGUGAACGAGGAAGGUCUUCGGAUCGUAAAGUUCUGUUGAAGGGGAAAAAGAGCGGAGAGAGGAAAUGGUCUCCGAUUGAUAUUACCCUUCGAGGAAGUCACGGCUAACUACGUGCCAGCAGCCGCGGUAAUACGUAGGUGGCGAGCGUUAUCCGGAAUGAUUGGGCGUAAAGGGUGCGUAGGCGGCCUGCUAAGUCUGGAGUGAAAGGUACCGGCUCAACGGGUAUAGGCUAUGGAAACGGGCGGGCUAGAGAGCAGGUGAGGGGGGUGGAACUCCAUGUGGAGCGGUAAAAUGCGUAGAUAUAUGGAAGAACACCAGUGGCGAAGGCGGCCGCCUGGCCUGUUACUGACGCUGAGGCACGAAAGCGUGGGGAGCAAAUAGGAUUAGAUACCCUGGUAGUC